This 199-nucleotide long non-coding RNA is filed under the name Lathyrus oleraceus (garden pea). RNAcentral describes it as "Pisum sativum (pea) long non-coding RNA (PSAT_LNC004185)". The record is from RNAcentral. Lineage: Eukaryota; Viridiplantae; Streptophyta; Magnoliopsida; Fabales; Fabaceae.
UCUAUGGCGGAGUUUUGAUGCUAACGACCAUGGAUGGCGAAGGAUUCCCGUCCCCUAUUAACUCAGACACAGUUAAAAAAAAUACUUCGCAUAAAAUAGAUCCGCUGGACGAUAAAAAGAAUAGUCCGGGCAAAAAAAGGGCAUCCCGACGAACCAAAAAAAAAAGAAUAAAGAGGUUCCGGCAAAAAUUAGGGAUAUA